RNAcentral lists this non-coding RNA (31 nucleotides) under Mus musculus (house mouse). Lineage: Eukaryota; Metazoa; Chordata; Mammalia; Rodentia; Muridae. The record is from RNAcentral.
UGAACCAAUGAGAAGACAGAUGAAAUGAUAG